Molecule: long non-coding RNA, 662 nt
Filed under: Pan troglodytes (chimpanzee)
Lineage: Eukaryota; Metazoa; Chordata; Mammalia; Primates; Hominidae
Description: long non-coding RNA NONPTRT002515
Source: RNAcentral
CUAACUCCCUCUCUGGAUAUGUGGAACAAGGAGGACCUUAAACUUAACAAUAGAGCCAGUGAUGGUUCUACCAGUCUCCCCAAAGCCUCAAGUUUAAAAGCCAUAUGAACUGGCUGAUAGUGGAAAAUGGAAGCCAUGACGAAAUCAGAUUAGAGUACUACCUGGUGAAGCCUUGAGGACCUACCAAGAAAAGCAAACUUGGAUCUUUGCAAGGUUAGAAGAACGAAUGGGAUCCAAGAAAAAGACUGGUCAUAUUCAACGGCUAAGAGCGUUGGAGAAGGCCUGUGGAGUCUCAGCAGGUCAGGUCCAUGACUCAUGAGUAGACACCUGUGUUUCUACUGCCUGGUGCCAUAAUCAUAAACAAGUGAAAAUGCUCAGGAUGUUCACUGCAGCCUGCCUCACCCUGGAAAAGAGAUGUGAGGAUAAUGAGAAAGAAGAGUAUGUUCGGUGCGGAGCAUGCAAAUUUGCAUGAAACGUAAAUGUAACUUUGUGCCUAACUACAACUGGUUCCCACAGAUAUUUUAGUUCUCAGUUUUAAUAACAAGUGUCCAGCACAGAAACGCCUAGAACAUAAAAGGGCCCGAUACAAAUUUACUGAUUUAAGAAAAAAUACUGUUUGUUUUCCUAAGAAAGAUAAAGCACCAAUAAGAAAUGAAUCAUAC